Molecule: ribosomal RNA, 451 nt
Filed under: Candidatus Phytoplasma pyri
Lineage: Bacteria; Bacillati; Mycoplasmatota; Mollicutes; Acholeplasmatales; Acholeplasmataceae
Description: bacterial SSU rRNA
Rfam family: Bacterial small subunit ribosomal RNA
Source: RNAcentral
UUUAAUAAGUCUAUGGUCUAAGUUCAACGCUAACGUUGUGAUGCUAUAGAAACUGUUUGACUAGAGUUGGAUAGAGGCAAGUGGAAUUCCAGUGUAGCGGUAAAAUGCGUAAAGAUAUGGAGGAACACCAGUAGCGAAGGCGGCUUGCUGGGUCUUAACUGACGCUGAGGCACGAAAGCGUGGGGAGCAAACAGGAUUAGAUACCCUUAGUCCACGCCGUAAACGAUGAGUACUAAGUGUUGGGUUAACAGUGCUGAAGUUAACGCAUUAAGUACUCCGCCUGAGUAGUACGUACGCAAGUAUGAAACUUAAAGGAAUUGACGGGACUCCGCACAAGCGGUGGAUCAGUUGUUUAAUUCGAAGAUACACGAAAAACCUUACCAGGUCUUGACAUACGCAAAGCUAGAAAUAUAGUGGAGGUUAUCAGGGAUACAGGUUGCAUGGUUGUCGU